CCUACGGGGGGCAGCAGUGGGGAAUAUUGCACAAUGGGCGCAAGCCCGAUGCAGCCAUGCCGCGUGUGUGAAGAAGGCCUUCGGGUCGUAAAGCACUUUCAGCGGGGAGGAAGGCGGUGAGGUUAAUAACCUCAUCGAUUGACGUUACCCGCAGAAGAAGCACCGGCUAACUCCGUGCCAGCAGCCGCGGUAAUACGGAGGGUGCAAGCGUUAAUCGGAAUUACUGGGCGUAAAGCGCACGCAGGCGGUCUGUCAAGUCGGAUGUGAAAUCCCCGGGCUCAACCUGGGAACUGCAUUCGAAACUGGCAGGCUAGAGUCUUGUAGAGGGGGGUAGAAUUCCAGGUGUAGCGGUGAAAUGCGUAGAGAUCUGGAGGAAUACCGGUGGCGAAGGCGGCCCCCUGGACAAAGACUGACGCUCAGGUGCGAAAGCGUGGGGAGCAAACAGGAUUAGAUACCCUAGUAGUC
This 465-nucleotide ribosomal RNA is filed under the name uncultured Klebsiella sp. Its description in RNAcentral is "bacterial SSU rRNA". It matches the Rfam family "Bacterial small subunit ribosomal RNA", at positions 338 to 795 of the family's 1533-position model. The record is from RNAcentral. Lineage: Bacteria; Pseudomonadati; Pseudomonadota; Gammaproteobacteria; Enterobacterales; Enterobacteriaceae.